CUGGCUCAGGAUGAACGCUAGCUACAGGCUAACACAUGCAAGUCGAGGGGCAUCAGGGAGAAAGCUUGCUUCUUUGCUGGCGACCGGCGCACGGGUGAGUAACGCGUAUCCAACCUUCCCCCCAGUAGGGCAUAGCCCGGCGAAAGUCGGAUUAAUACCCUAUGUUGUGUCAUGAGGACAUCUGAAUAACACCAAAGAUUUAUCGCUGGGGGGAUGGGGAUGCGUCCGAUUAGGUUGUUGGCGGGGUAACGGCCCACCAAGCCCGCGAUCGGUAGGGGUUCUGAGAGGAAGGUCCCCCACACUGGUACUGAGACACGGACCAGACUCCUACGGGAGGCAGCAGUGAGGAAUAUUGGUCAAUGGACGAGAGUCUGAACCAGCCAAGUAGCGUGCAGGACGACGGCCCUAUGGGUUGUAAACUGCUUUUAUGCGGGGAUAAAGUGAGGUAUGUAUACCUUUUUGUAGGUACCGCAUGAAUAAGGACCGGCUAAUUCCGUGCCAGCCGCUGC
This 509-nucleotide ribosomal RNA is filed under the name uncultured bacterium. Its description in RNAcentral is "bacterial SSU rRNA". It matches the Rfam family "Bacterial small subunit ribosomal RNA", at positions 19 to 518 of the family's 1533-position model. The record is from RNAcentral.